Caenorhabditis elegans is the source of this 21-nucleotide non-coding RNA. NCBI's taxonomy places the organism in Eukaryota, Metazoa, Nematoda, Chromadorea, Rhabditida, Rhabditidae. The record is from Ensembl.
UGCUAUUUCGGUUAUAACUGA